RNAcentral lists this ribosomal RNA (74 nucleotides) under Meloidogyne arenaria. RNAcentral describes it as "partial 16S ribosomal RNA". The record is from RNAcentral. Lineage: Eukaryota; Metazoa; Nematoda; Chromadorea; Rhabditida; Meloidogynidae.
AUUAUUUUUUUAGAUUAUUUUUUUAUUGUUGAAAAAUUAAAAACCAAAUUGUUUUUUACAAUAAUUAAAAAUUU